GAAGGGAGCUUGCUCCCGGAUGUUAGCGGCGGACGGGUGAGUAACACGUGGGUAACCUGCCUGUAAGACUGGGAUAACUCCGGGAAACCGGAGCUAAUACCGGAUAGUUCCUUGAACCGCAUGGUUCAAGGAUGAAAGACGGUUUCGGCUGUCACUUACAGAUGGACCCGCGGCGCAUUAGCUAGUUGGUGAGGUAACGGCUCACCAAGGCGACGAUGCGUAGCCGACCUGAGAGGGUGAUCGGCCACACUGGGACUGAGACACGGCCCAGACUCCUACGGGAGGCAGCAGUAGGGAAUCUUCCGCAAUGGACGAAAGUCUGACGGAGCAACGCCGCGUGAGUGAUGAAGGUUUUCGGAUCGUAAAGCUCUGUUGUUAGGGAAGAACAAGUGCAAGAGUAACUGCUUGCACCUUGACGGUACCUAACCAGAAAGCCACGGCUAACUACGUGCCAGCAGCCGCGGUAAUACGUAGGUGGCAAGCGUUGUCCGGAAUUAUUGGGCGUAAAGGGCUCGCAGGCGGUUUCUUAAGUCUGAUGUGAAAGCCCCCGGCUCAACCGGGGAGGGUCAUUGGAAACUGGGAAACUUGAGUGCAGAAGAGGAGAGUGGAAUUCCACGUGUAGCGGUGAAAUGCGUAGAGAUGUGGAGGAACACCAGUGGCGAAGGCGACUCUCUGGUCUGUAACUGACGCUGAGGAGCGAAAGCGUGGGGAGCGAACAGGAUUAGAUACCCUGGUAGUCCACGCCGUAAACGAUGAGUGCUAAGUGUUAGGGGGUUUCCGCCCCUUAGUGCUGCAGCUAACGCAUUAAGCACUCCGCC
Molecule: ribosomal RNA, 818 nt
Filed under: Bacillus sp. IIPON1
Lineage: Bacteria; Bacillati; Bacillota; Bacilli; Caryophanales; Bacillaceae
Description: bacterial SSU rRNA
Rfam family: Bacterial small subunit ribosomal RNA
Source: RNAcentral